UGUUUCAACCAUAUCACCCUGCAGCCCAAGACUGAUCACCCACUGAAGCUAAGCAGGGUUGAUCCUGGUCAAUACCUGGAUGGGAAACCUCCAAAACUUAAAAAAAUAGAAAGUUGAGAAAA
Molecule: ribosomal RNA, 122 nt
Filed under: Sinocyclocheilus grahami
Lineage: Eukaryota; Metazoa; Chordata; Actinopteri; Cypriniformes; Cyprinidae
Source: RNAcentral